UAUACCGAUUUGUCCAGGACUUACGUGCAGUAAAUAAAGUUGUCCAAGCUAGACACAAUGUGGUACCAAACCCUCACACAAUCCUGACUGCCAUUCCAGCAAGUACUGCUUGUUAUUCAGUAAUAGACUUGUGUAAUGCUUUUUUUAGUAUUCCUCUAGAUAAGGACAGCUGGGAUAUCUUUGCAUUUACAUGGACGGACCCAAAACUAAAAAAGCAAAACAACUGACCUGGACUCGGCUCCCGCAAGGAUAUGUUGAGUCCCCGACUAUUUUUUCCUCUAUCCUGACACGUGACUUAGCUGAUAUCAGCCUACCGGGUGGGUCUACAUAUCUCUUGUAUGUGAAUAACGUCCUGGUUUGUUCUCCGGAUCAAGUAACAUGUAAAACAGACACUAUUUACUUGCUAAAUUGCUUGGCAAACAAGAGACAUAAAGUAUCUCCUUCUAAGUUGCAGUUUGCCAAAGACAAGGUAUGCGGCUCAAUUUCAGUCCCUACCCGCUGAUGCUCCUGCCCACCGGAUCGCUCCAGAAGACUGGGUCUAUGUGAAAGAGUGGAAACACGAGCCUCUCCAACCCCGGUGGGCGGGCCCUUUCCAAGUCCUUCUUACCUCUCACACUGCUGUUCGAGUGAGAGAGCGAGACACUUGGAUACACCACACCCGAGUCAAGCUAGCCCCUAGGACGAGGCCAGAAGCAGACAACUUCGGACCUCGAGGGAGCACCGCCAGCUCUUCCCACCGCGACCCGGAAGAGCCAGAAGCAGACAAUACCUAAAAAGCUGAACCUCUUGAGGGACUAAAGCUUCUGUUCCGGCGAACAAAAUCCUAAGACUUUAUAACUAUGGGUUCUCAGACGGUGCUGCAGUGGCUAUUGCUUUUGGGUUUGCCCCUUGUACAAACUAAUCCACACCCAGCCGCUAAAUCUCUUCAGCAAAUAGCCACAUUGGGACACUUAUCUGAUUGUUGGCUGUGUCACAAAACCCGCUCUGAGGAAGGAAUAGGAUUGUAAGCUGUACCAGCAAAUCUUUCUAAAGUACUCUCCUUACAAGUAAAACAAAAAACUAAAUAAACAUAAAUUAAAAAAUAUCA
Molecule: long non-coding RNA, 1087 nt
Filed under: Chrysemys picta bellii (western painted turtle)
Lineage: Eukaryota; Metazoa; Chordata; Testudines; Emydidae
Description: lncRNA (ENSCPBG00000017299.1)
Source: RNAcentral